UACGAAGGGGGCUAGCGUUGCUCGGAAUCACGGGGCGUAAAGCGCACGUAGGCGGCUUGUUAAGUCAGGGGUGAAAUCCUGGAGCUCAACUCCAGAACUGCCUUUGAUACUGGCGAGCUUGAGUCCGGGAGAGGUGAGUGGAACUGCGAGUGUAGAGGUGAAAUUCGUAGAUAUUCGCAAGAACACCAGUGGCGAAGGCGGCUCACUGGCCCGGUACUGACGCUGAGGUGCGAAAGCGUGGGGAGCAAACAGG
RNAcentral lists this ribosomal RNA (253 nucleotides) under uncultured bacterium. RNAcentral's name for it is "partial 16S ribosomal RNA". It matches the Rfam family "Bacterial small subunit ribosomal RNA", at positions 524 to 776 of the family's 1533-position model. The record is from RNAcentral.